AUGAUCCGGAUAUCUGUGCUGCAACCGCUUCCGGGUCAACCUACUACUUCCGGUUCACCGGAAAAACCUGGAUACGCGCGUCUUGUGUCUCAACAACAGUUCGUGGAGCUCCGCGAGCGCGCAUUUUACCCACUCGUUCAAGAAAGGAGGUCAAACGUCCGGAGCUCAGCUCCAAGUCUUGGGUUCCUUGCAGACAGAGCAGAGCUCGUGGCUUUCCUCCGAAUCAGAGAUUCUGUACAGCUGGCUGACAUGACAGGAACAGGUGGUUGUCAAUGAUCAGAACCUUACGCAAACUGAUCCGUGUGACCCAGAGCAUCCUCAUUCUUUUAAGAUCCUUUGACUGAACUGGAACCAGUGGAGCAUCAAACUAGAACCUUUCACGUUUGGUGGUUACGUCUGUCAGAUAAUCAGCAAAGUACGUCCACUUUGCUCCCUAGGGGGCGCUGUUUUGGCUGCUGGAUUCAGACCUGAGGUUCAGUGGAGAAAUGGGAGGGUUCUUAUUGCUGGGUGUAGUCAAAGGGCGUCUUCAAUUCCAGAAUAGCCCAAACCCACAGUCUUUGUGGGAGUCUGAAGAUCUGAUCCAACCAGAGGUUCCUGAGUAAACCGCCACAGAGACCAGGGGGGUAUUCCAGGAAGCAUGUUUAAACUAGCCUGACUUUAACCCUGAACUCUGGCUGAAAUCCGCCUGAACUUGCUUACUCUGGGUAUGUCGGUUCCUAAAGACCGGAUAUGAGUUAGAGUAAUUACGCUCCACUUGGUAACCCUGGGUUAACGCACGUGCACAGCAGGUACAUAAAGACAUUCUCAAUGGAUCGCAGAUUUCUGGAGUUACCAUGGAAACGCGUGGAGAAAAAAAAGCACUAUACUUCAGUGAGACGGAGUCUGAGAUUUUAAUGACGGAGUAUGGAGAUUAUACGUCCACCAAAAAAGUAACACGGCUGCAUCAUCAGCAAAAGUAAGAACAGACAAAGUAAACGCACAAGUUUCUGAUCUUAUUUCCAUUUUCCUUGUGACGAAUAUAUAUAUAACUUAUCCAACUUAAAUGAAUUACUUCUAUUGGUAAAAAGUAAUUGAGUUAAAUUAUUCAACGUAAUUUCUUACGUCUAUCCAACUCAGAUGUUUAAACAACUGAAAUUUACACAUUUAUCUAACUAAAUGUCAUAUUACUCCAAUUCAAUUAAAUGUUUUUCC
This 1191-nucleotide long non-coding RNA is filed under the name Oryzias sinensis (Chinese medaka). RNAcentral describes it as "lncRNA (ENSOSIG00000013738.1)". Lineage: Eukaryota; Metazoa; Chordata; Actinopteri; Beloniformes; Adrianichthyidae. The record is from RNAcentral.